UGCCCAGCAACUCCUAUCCCUACCUCCUCGUGGUACUGGCCGGGGUACGAGUAACCUUGGGGAAGAUCGGGUAACCAACCCCGGUGGGAACUUUGGUCGUAUGCUGAGCUAACAGGGAAGG
RNAcentral lists this ribozyme (121 nucleotides) under Aedes aegypti (yellow fever mosquito). RNAcentral describes it as "drz-agam-1 ribozyme". It matches the Rfam family "drz-agam-1 ribozyme". The record is from Rfam by way of RNAcentral. Lineage: Eukaryota; Metazoa; Arthropoda; Insecta; Diptera; Culicidae.